Non-coding RNA from Kaistia sp. SCN 65-12, 81 nucleotides. The record is from Rfam. NCBI's taxonomy places the organism in Bacteria, Pseudomonadati, Pseudomonadota, Alphaproteobacteria, Hyphomicrobiales, Kaistiaceae.
GCGAUGGGGUUGCGAUCGCCCCACGAGGCGUCAUGCCGAAGAAUCGCGUCCAUCAACCCGGCUACCGGAGGACGCGCCAUG